This 219-nucleotide ribosomal RNA is filed under the name uncultured soil bacterium. RNAcentral describes it as "partial 16S ribosomal RNA". It matches the Rfam family "Bacterial small subunit ribosomal RNA", at positions 26 to 247 of the family's 1533-position model. The record is from RNAcentral.
AGGACGAACGCUGGCGGCGUGCUUAACACAUGCAAGUCGAGCGGUAAGGCCCUUUCGGGGGUACACGAGCGGCGAACGGGUGAGUAACACGCGAGCAAUCUGCCCUUCACUUCGGGAUAAGCCCCGGAAACGGGGUCUAAUACCGGAUAUGACUGCGCCAUGCAUGUGGUGUGGUGGAAAGUUCUGGCGGUGAGGGAUGAGCUCGCGGCCUAUCAGCUU